RNAcentral lists this ribosomal RNA (253 nucleotides) under uncultured bacterium. Its description in RNAcentral is "partial 16S ribosomal RNA". It matches the Rfam family "Bacterial small subunit ribosomal RNA", at positions 524 to 776 of the family's 1533-position model. The record is from RNAcentral.
GACGAGCCACACAAACGUUAUUCGGAAUUACUGGGCUUAAAGGGUGCGUAGGCGGCGCGGAAAGUUGGGUGUGAAAGCCCUCGGCUCAACCGAGGAAUUGCGCCCAAAACUACCGUGCUUGAGGAAGAUAGAGGUGAGCGGAACUCAGGGUGGAGCGGUGAAAUGCGUUGAUAUCCUGAGGAACACCGGUGGCGAAAGCGGCUCACUGGUCCGGUACUGACGCUGAGGUGCGAAAGCGUGGGGAGCAAACAGG